RNAcentral lists this ribosomal RNA (747 nucleotides) under beta proteobacterium SAT1. RNAcentral's name for it is "bacterial SSU rRNA". It matches the Rfam family "Bacterial small subunit ribosomal RNA", at positions 24 to 770 of the family's 1533-position model. Lineage: Bacteria; Pseudomonadati; Pseudomonadota; Betaproteobacteria. The record is from RNAcentral.
UCAGAUUGAACGCUGGCGGCAUGCCUUACACAUGCAAGUCGAACGGCAGCGCGGGGCAACCUGGCGGCGAGUGGCGAACGGGUGAGUAAUAUAUCGGAACGUACCCUGGAGUGGGGGAUAACGUAGCGAAAGUUACGCUAAUACCGCAUACGAUCUAAGGAUGAAAGUGGGGGAUCGCAAGACCUCAUGCUCCUGGAGCGGCCGAUAUCUGAUUAGCUAGUUGGUAGGGUAAAAGCCUACCAAGGCAUCGAUCAGUAGCUGGUCUGAGAGGACGACCAGCCACACUGGAACUGAGACACGGUCCAGACUCCUACGGGAGGCAGCAGUGGGGAAUUUUGGACAAUGGGCGCAAGCCUGAUCCAGCAAUGCCGCGUGAGUGAAGAAGGCCUUCGGGUUGUAAAGCUCUUUUGUCAGGGAAGAAACGGUGAGGGCUAAUAUCCCUUGCUAAUGACGGUACCUGAAGAAUAAGCACCGGCUAACUACGUGCCAGCAGCCGCGGUAAUACGUAGGGUGCAAGCGUUAAUCGGAAUUACUGGGCGUAAAGCGUGCGCAGGCGGUUUUGUAAGACUGUCGUGAAAUCCCCGGGCUCAACCUGGGAAUGGCGAUGGUGACUGCAAGGCUAGAGUUUGGCAGAGGGGGGUAGAAUUCCACGUGUAGCAGUGAAAUGCGUAGAUAUGUGGAGGAACACCGAUGGCGAAGCAGCCCCCUGGGUCAAACUGACGCUCAUGCACGAAAGCGUGGGGAGCA